UGAGCAACCUGCCCUGGACUUUGGGAUAACCCUCGGAAACGGGGGCUAACACCGGAUAUUACUGAUUCUCGCAUGGGGGUUGGUGGAAAGUUUUUCGGUCUGGGAUGGGCUCGCGGCCUAUCAGCUUGUUGGUGGGGCGAUGGCCUACCAAGGCGACGACGGGUAGCCGGCCUGAGAGGGCGACCGGCCACACUGGGACUGAGACACGGCCCAGACUCCUACGGGAGCA
RNAcentral lists this ribosomal RNA (229 nucleotides) under uncultured bacterium. RNAcentral describes it as "partial 16S ribosomal RNA". It matches the Rfam family "Bacterial small subunit ribosomal RNA", at positions 118 to 347 of the family's 1533-position model. The record is from RNAcentral.